Molecule: long non-coding RNA, 3694 nt
Organism: Cephus cinctus (wheat stem sawfly)
Lineage: Eukaryota; Metazoa; Arthropoda; Insecta; Hymenoptera; Cephidae
Exons: 4
Source: RefSeq, a predicted model, not a curated record
UCAAUGCAUUAUGGAUGAACCUUUAUUGCCGAGCGUCGUCACUCUCUUUCACCGACAGGAAUUUCUUUCCUCGCAAUCAUUCGUCUCACUGCACUGACUUAUCGGCUCACAAUCACAUAUACAACCAUUGAAAAUUGGCUCGAUGGCAUUUCGGAUCAGUUGGGCCUAAUUGGGCCUCUCUUGAUUGGCUUUCGAAUCGCCAUUACCGUUUACUCACUCGACUCUGCUAGUUUCUUGUUGCGAACGCGAAUCGGCUAUUAAAAUCCAAUUAAAUUAAACACCAUCGACUGCUUAUUGAUACUUAUGUAUUUUCAUGGACAGUCCCUUAUGGCGAAUCCACAAUCUUACUACGUUGUUAAUUUCGUCACUUGUCAUUCGCAGAAGGAGCAUCGAUUACUCCCAAUACCAUCUUUGACAGACUGAGAAUGGCCUUCAGGUGCAGUCCGGUUAUAUUAUUUUCUGCCCUUGACAUCUUUAUGGGAUCACGGAAUGUUAACAGUUCGUCAAUUACACAGUUUCCAUGUAGCUAUUGAUAAAAACCUGUCAAAAUCGAAUUGAGCAGCAGCAAUCAUCAAAGUGAAUCCCUGUACCUGCAGGAUGCUGGACUGUAUCAUAAAUAAUCCAACGUCCCGUUUAAUUAAGAGGGGUCGUUUAAUAUUGAGAUAUAUAUAUAUAUUAAAAAUGGUCCGUGACAGUGAAAAGUAGAAAAGAGAUAGAAAGGGAAGAUUAACCAUCAAAACAGUUAUGGGAUUCUGUGUAUCGGAUAAAAAUUUUUCAUACCUCACAGAGAUGGCCCAUUCGUGUAAUUUACUAGAUUCCCAUAAUUUGCCUAAUUUUCUUUUUCUCUCAUAGUCCCAAUCAAGUGGAAUCAUCCGUUAGAAAUCUUACUAAAUGAAUUACUGUACCCGGAGAUUUCCUGUAUUUUAAAUCAAGAACUAAGCAGAUUUAUUAGAUGCUGAAAUCUUUUGGUUAUUACCGUGAAAUUCCAUUGAGAUUAGUUCAGCAGUAUUCUGGAAGAUCUCUGAGAUUUAUGUUAUACUGAUCUAAGCUAUUUCUAGUAUCAUAUAUGAUGUCCAGUACCAUGUGAACUCAACGGUACUGUAUUGUAUCAGGUAGCCUAAUGCUCAGUACAGGGGAGUAUAUCCCAUAACAAAUUGUACCUGCUUUAAUUUUAUCGGACUCAGUGAUUUAAUAAUGUCAUUCGUUACGACACGAAAGCCGCCAUUAACAUUAGUUUUAUAUGUAGUAUUAUACUGUACCAUAUAAUAGCCAUACUGGACAGUAGUCAAUACGAUAGACUCUAUUUAACUAAAUAGAGUCGCUACUAUGAGGACCGCUUUAUUAUAUGUAUGCUUACAGAUUGUACAUAUAUUUAUGGUCCACAAUUUAUGUACCUAAGUGUAUUAAAUGCAACGUCUCCGUAUGUGACAGUUGCAUUUGACAUUAUGUGUAAAUAUUUGUAUCUCUUACAGAUUUUUUCUUACUAUCGUUAUAUGCUGGAUGAUCUUGAUAUUUUUUUAUGUACAGCUACAGCUAACCGGUACAGUUGAAUUUGUGUCAUGUACCAAACGGUAUUUUGAUAUUUUCAUGUAAAAAUGAUGAAAAUGAAAAUUUGUCAGGAUUCUUAUGAAGCUAACGUGACAGGGGUUGUCCUCUGCUUUAAUAGAAUCUAUGGGUUACUCGGGUGACUUUUUUACGGAGCUUUUUUACAAGGGAUCAUUACGUGUCUCUUAGGUGCAGUCACUGUACACAAUGUAUCAGCAGAGCGAUGGAGUUCUUAUAGACUCUUAAGACACUACAAGAGUAAGUCCCUUGGGACUGAUGGAAUCUUACGAUACACAAGUGACUUCUUUACCGUGCUUGUUUGGUCUAUUCUAAUAAGGCCUCUGACAUUUGUGCGUUUACGUGCUGUAAAAGUGACUUCUUUGCUAUCGGUAAGGCCCCAGAUGUUCUGACAGCGAAAUUAUCGUCGUUAGCAAUUACGCGCGGUUUGUUGCGUGGGGCCCAGGGAUACCACAGGUCUCAUUACCCGCGACAAGGGUCCACAACAUGCCAAGAAAAGAUGCCGACAUGCGACCCGAGCUGCCCUGCCAAUUACGAACACUCGGUCCAAAUAAAUUAUAACGAAUGCUGGGCCUUGCCGGUGGGUCCCAAUUGAAAUUUUACCGACGAUUAAAUCCCAUCUCCACCUACCAACACGCCGCCAUAUUAUUACACUCAUACGAGAGACUUUAUGGCUCUUCGUCACAGUCGGUUUGUACACUCGAAUAUGUAAAUCGAUUCUAUCUGCCUCUUAAAAUCAGUUGAGGCCACCGAUAAACUGUUCUCCUCAUUCUUUCUCUUUACAGUAGUGUCCCGCUUAGAUUAUUCUCGAUAACUCGGCGCUUCCCCUUCUGCGCUUUACUGCUGUCGUCCUGGUCAGUCACCCCACUCUUCUGCGCUUUGGCUUCUCUAUACAUAACCUGACACGACUAACGUAGUAGCCAGCAGAAGCCAAGCAAUACGAAUAUAUUUAUAUUUUCUAUUUAAAGCAUACCUGUCAAUUCGACAAUGACAGUCUCACGUAACAGGGGUACCCCGUAAGUCAGCACUUGGGAAUAUUUAUGUCCCCUAGGCUCUCGUAGUCGUGCGCUUAACGUGAGGCUACUGUAUUUUUAAUUCCUGACUUCUGCAGUCAAACUAUGCCUUUCAUGCAUUAGAUGCAGGUACAAAGAGAUACCUGAUGUACAAGUGCAUAAGGCAGUCUUUUAAGACAGUUACAGAUAAUUCAAUUACUUCCUACAAUCUUUUUGACAGGUUCACUAUUUCAUUGUAACAUCCGAAGAGCGAAAUCCUUUUUUUCACUAUUAAAUUAUCCCACGUGCCGCAACCGUGAAGAAUGGCUAACGACCAACCGAUCACGUACUUUACAAUAAAAUCGUUCAAUAUCACACAAGAUUGCUCUGCGUGUCCAAGUGUCGCUUUAUCUUGGCACGUCCCAUCUCAUCUUGACUCGUUUCUCUCUUGAGUCAUUAUGAAAAAGAGGUGAAAACAUGUUUGCCUCGGUUACACAGUUCCGCUACUACCCGCAGUAUAGAAACGGCGGCAGACAGGCAACAGCAGCAGCAGCAGCAGCUGUCCUGUAGAAGAAGAAAGAGAAGGGAGGUAAAUAAAAGUUAUAACAGCCUCUCUUUAUCCUUAUCUUACCUUCAACUCGAACGUCUUAUUGGCGAGAGGUAAAGCAACUGCUUGUGUAUACCAAAGGGGAAAGAGAAAGAUACAUACAGAAUCUUACUGUUCCCUUGAUGCGGACAAAUAUUGACCGUUACCGACUCGAAGGUGUCAUUUGUCGUAACAGCCGUCAUUCCGUCAUCCAGUCGUCCUGCCAUACGGGACAGUACUGACAACUCUCCGGUCGUAAAACACAGCCAGAACGUUAUUACUCUUGACAAGGUACUUGUGCAAGUCCGAUUGUUGCAGACCUGUAAAAAAUAUUUUUUUAAGGAAAUUAAAUCAGGCUGAUAUUCCUAUUGAGAUAAUUCUAACGAGACUCUGCACCAGAUGGAUUCCAUUGGAUAUUCCAAGUUUGGUAUCGUGGUACGGUAUUAGGGACAUUAAUCAUCCUGGCAGUGGGAGUACGUAACUUAGCAGUUCCCUGGUUACUGAUAAAAAGAACGUAAUCGAUUAUAAAUGGAAAAAUUGUAAGAAUCAGCAG